AUGGAGCGCCGUCGAGGAGAGAAAUCAGGUCCGAGAACCACACUCGGCCCAGCCAGCACAGGGCUGUUAAUAGAAGACGGACCCCGUCCUGGCGUACUCUCGCCAGAACUCCCGGGAGCAGAGCAAUCGGGGGAAAAGCAUACAGACGAAGCCUCGGCCAAGUCUGUACCAUGGCAUCCAGCCCCAGUGGAGCCGGAUGAGUCAGAGAGAACCAAAGGGGACAGUGUAAUGUCAUCUGAGUCGCAAACAGAUCCACCUGAGCCUGACCAAAUAUUCUCCAUAUCUGCUUCACCACCUCGGGGUGAAGCCUCCAUUCCCUGGGCCUCAGCCCCUGCCCCGACAGGAUGUUGGCUCCCAUAUUCACAUGCCCAGGAAUAUGUACUGCUCUCAGAUUCAAUGCACGAAAUAUGGCUAGCAUCUCCAGGCAGUUGAUGUGCCACAUGAGAUGGCGACCACUCCACAGACCACGGGCAGGAUGGCCACUCAUGAUCGCACUCCAAUCGGUGAGGGACGUGUCCGUCGCUAGCAUUACACAGCGACAAGGAGCUCCCAGCACCGGGCCCUGAGACAAGAACCAAGGCUUCCACCACAUGUCCAAGGCACGUAGGCAUCGCCGUGUGACCUUGAUCAUGCAAAGUGGGUUUCCCCUCGGGGAGAAAUCCUUGGUCUUGAGCCACCACUGUAGGGGUCUCAUGUACAGCAGCCCAAGAGGUAUCAUGUUGGACGCAGCUGCCAUUAACCCCAAUAGUUUCUGAAACUGUAUUUCUCUUUUAAAUCUGACAGGGUCAACCAAAAAUGUCUCUCCGCUGCCACCAGAGCUGUCAUGGACCGCCCAAUCGCGCAGGUGGACUCCUUGGUGUUGCGGAGAGCUAAAUCAGCUGUUUUCCUUAAUUCUGACACACUGUCUUCUUUAAUUUCCUUGCCUUCAUCUAGCUCUUUGAACAGGUCAGCCUGGUAUGUCUACAACAAAGCCAUUGUAUGAAGACAUGCACCGGCCUGACCUGCUGCCGCGUACCCCUUGCCCACCAGUGCUGAAGUGGUUCACAGCGGCUUGGAGGGCAAGACCGGAGCCUUUAAAGAUGAUGCCGCUUCGGGAGAUAGAUAGUUUGCGAGCGUCUGUUCUACCUGGGGCAUCGAUCUUUAACCGCGUUCACCCAAACCCCGUCACAUUGCUGUAAUAAUCUGAGGCGGGGAUGAAUAAGCGGGCCGAGAAUGGUUUUGCCCAUGAUCUCAACACCUCGGUGUGGAGAUCGGAGAAAAAAGGCAGGCUCCCGCAUGGAGUUGGUGGCCGAGAUCGUAAAAUCCGCUCAUCUACUCUUUUGCAGUUCGGAUUGUUUCUCGGCGGGCCAAUCGAUGUUUAACUUGGCUACUGCACGAGUUACCACCUCCAACAACUCCUCAUACUAGGGUGACUGAGGGGGAGAAUCAUCGACGCUCUCCACAUCCACCUCCUCAGAGGCAGAUAGGUGGAGUGUCACACCCGCUUCCCAGAGGGAAGAAGCACCGGAGCACGCUUCCGAUCCCAGAGAGCGGGUGCUGGAUCUGGCAGGUGAGGAAGAAGAUAGGGACUUGCCAGUCUCCAUUCCCUCUACCAGAUCCAACUGCGAACCCCACGAGUGCAGCUGCCGCUAUGCCUCGGCAGAAGCAGGGCCAACACCGUGAGGAACGCUGGCAAAGGCUCCAUCCUCAAAGAGAGCCCUCCGGGAGAGCCGACUCUGCAUGCUCCGAUCCCAAGCAGACCACGCACAGACUGUGUGUAUCUCCGCUCAUGAUGUAGCGUGGGCAGGGACGAACACACAAUCUGUAACAUGAUCUGCUUUCGCCCAUGUGUUUUGUCUUUUUUUUAGCCUUCUUUGACAUACUGUGAUUGUGUAACUGAGAGACAUCAGUAAAUAAUACUCACAGACACAAAUGGUAUGACUGACACACACACAGAGCUUCGCUGAAUGACAGAAAAGCUGACGUUCGUUCCAUCACACGUGCUUUUAUAGCUUCCUGGUCGCUACAUCAUCCGCCUAUGACGUCUCGCCCUUUCAUUGGACUGAUUACAAAUGUUAUUCAGAGCUGAUCACGCUGAUGGCAUUCCCAUAGCGAAUUCCGACACAGCUCGAGUUCCUGAAGGGGAACUACAUUUCCUGUCAUCAUCUGUGGCAGAAUGAAAAUGAUCAAAUACACAAAAUAAGCAUCAAUUGGACACCUAAUCAUAAUUAUGAUUCCCAAUCUGGUAAGCAGGACUUAAAGGCAGUGUGUUUUCCUAUGUAACUUCAAAAACAAAAUAAUAUAUUUUAAUUUAGAUGAAAAUACAGAUUUUAUUACAUCAGCAGACAAAUUGUGACACAAUCUUAAAUCAUGUCAGGUAUUCAGAAUCUUUUGGUGUGGUUGUGUUUCUUUUGCAAUAUGACAUUUUCUUUUUGCAUGCAGAGAUUGUCAAUAAUAUUAUUAUUUUCAUGGGAUAAAGGCAGAUGAGUCUGAUAUGGAGUUUGUUUGUUCUUUAUAACCUCCCAGUUGGCCUCAUAAUCUUAAUUAAAUCUCCUGCAGGCCCAACUGGCAUCAACCGCACAUUUGAAUCUUAAUCAGACAGAUUUAGAUCCGGCAUGGAGAAGGUGUCCUGGUUUUGCAGGAACAGUAUAGUCUUCCUCAUUUAUGAUUGGUGAAAACUGAAUUUCAGUAUUUUGUGAGGAGAAAAAAAAAUGCUAUGUCAAAUGCACUUUGUUGUUCAUUGUUAGUUCAUGUUAAUUCACAGUGCAUUAACUAAUGUUAACAAGCACAACUCUUGAUUUUAAUAAAUUUUGAAAUGAACACUAAGAUUAAUACACGCUGUAGAAGUAUUCUUAGUUCAUUCUUAGUUUAUGUUAACUAAAGUAGUUAGCUAAUGUUAUCUAAUGAAAGUUAUUGUAAAGUGUUACCAAUAAAACUAUUAAAAAAAAUUAACUACUCAAAAAAUGAUCAAAAGUGACAGGUAAGACAUUUCUAAUGUUACAAUAGAUUUAUAUUUGUUCUUUUGAACUUUCAAAGAAUCAAGACAAAUAAAUGUAUCAUGAGUCUAUAUGAAGCAGCAGUUUUUGACACUGAUAAUAGUAAAAAAAAAAAAUAAUUCUUGACCAGCAAAUCAGCAUAUUAGAAUGAUUUCUGAAGGAUCAUUUGAGACAGAUGGAUCAUUAUAGAAUUAGUGCGAAAGUUGUCGGUUUCACUUAAACAUACUGUAACCUUCAUUUGUUACUUUCUUAAGCAUGGUGUUGAUUCAAACACUCUCAUUAGGCGAGCAUGCUGUUUGAGGCGUCCUCCUGUGCCAUCGUGAUGUCUGCUGAAUGCUGCCCAUCUGUUCGCCUCCAGUGCGGAGUCAGCAGAGGUUCUGAUGAGACGCUCGGGGGUGAUGGGGGUCACACACACCAUGACGUGCUGACAAAGCAGAUCCAGGACAGACAGCAACAGAUGCAAUACAACUAAUAAUGAAAACAGAACUGUCAGUAAAUGAGCCACUGUUAACAUACACUACAAGUACUCAAAGUUUGCAAUAAUUAAGAGUUUUUUUUUUUGUUGUUGUUGUUUGUUUUUUGUUUUUUUACAUUUUUAAAAGAAGUCUCUUGAAACCGCUUAAAGAAACAGUUGAAAGAAUGAGUAUAAUAAUAAUAAUAAUAAUAAAUAAUAAUAAUAAUAAUAAUAAUAAUAAUAAUGAUAAAUCAUUUGCUUUCUCUCUCUCUCUCGUUGUUUCAAUCCUUCUUCUUCUUCUUCUUCUUCUUCUUCUUCUACUUUUUGUGGAAUUUUAUAUGUUUUUUUUUUUAUGCAAUUACUGAAAUAAUGGAAGCUUCUAUCCUAUCCUAGAUGACCUAUUCCAAUGAAAAGCGGUGUAUGAACUUUUCCUCCUUACUCACUUUAAGGAGCAGAUCUUCAAUAAGUAGAUCACAGCAGCCCUGCAGUGCCAGUUGAGUGUGAAAUGAAUUCACUUAAACUUGCAAAAGCUUUCGGGUUCUGUAUAUGUGGCAACAGUACAACUGCUUACCCUAAAGUAAAAAUAAAUAAAUAAAUAAAUGCAUUAGGUUCAGAGUCAAUCUCUCACUCAAAUUGAUUCAAAACCCUCCUUCCAUGUUUACUGAGGCAAACAAUAACUCUAAGGAGCAACCCUCAAAG
Molecule: long non-coding RNA, 4128 nt
Organism: Cyprinus carpio carpio
Lineage: Eukaryota; Metazoa; Chordata; Actinopteri; Cypriniformes; Cyprinidae
Source: Ensembl